RNAcentral lists this ribosomal RNA (292 nucleotides) under uncultured bacterium. Its description in RNAcentral is "partial 16S ribosomal RNA". It matches the Rfam family "Bacterial small subunit ribosomal RNA", at positions 505 to 796 of the family's 1533-position model. The record is from RNAcentral.
GUGUCAGCAGCCGCGGUAAGACGAACCGUGCGAACGUUGUUCGGAAUCACUGGGCUUAAAGGGCGCGUAGGCGGGCGGCCGCGUCCGGGGUGAAAUCCCACGGCUCAACCGUGGAACGGCCUCGGAUACGGGCGGCCUCGAGGGGGGUAGGGGCAUCUGGAACUGUGAGUGGAGCGGUGAAAUGCGUUGAUAUUCACAGGAACUCCGGUGGCGAAGGCGAGGUGCUGGACCCCAUCUGACGCUGAGGCGCGAAAGCCAGGGGAGCGAACGGGAUUAGAUACCCCGGUAGUCC